RNAcentral lists this transfer RNA (73 nucleotides) under Marmota monax (woodchuck). RNAcentral describes it as "tRNA.Ala". The record is from RNAcentral. Lineage: Eukaryota; Metazoa; Chordata; Mammalia; Rodentia; Sciuridae.
GCUGGGGAUAUACUCAGUGGUAAAGUGCCUGCCAAGCAUGCAUGAAGGCCUGGGUUCGAUACCCAGUUCUGCA